Molecule: long non-coding RNA, 234 nt
Filed under: Brassica napus (rape)
Lineage: Eukaryota; Viridiplantae; Streptophyta; Magnoliopsida; Brassicales; Brassicaceae
Description: long non-coding RNA (BNAP_LNC008529)
Source: RNAcentral
UUUAGAGUUGAUGAUUUAGGGUUUAGAGUUGAAGGUUUAGGGUUUAGGGUUUAGAGUUGAUGUUUCAGGGUUUAAGGUUUAGAGUUCAUGUUUCAGGGUUUAGGGUUCGUAUUUCAAAAGAAAAUAGGGUUUAGGAUUGAUGAUUUAGGGUUAUGGUUCGUAUUUCAAAAAAGAAAUAAGGUUUAGGAUUAAUGGUUUAGGGUUUAGAGUUGAGUUUUAGGGUUUAGGGUUUGA